GCCUCGGUAGCGCAGUAGGCAGCGCGUUAAGUCUCAUAAUCUUAAGGUCGUGAGUUCGAUCCUCACCCGGGGGCA
This 75-nucleotide transfer RNA is filed under the name Schistocerca americana (American grasshopper). Its description in RNAcentral is "tRNA-Met". It matches the Rfam family "tRNA". From Rfam's summary of the family: Transfer RNA (tRNA) molecules are approximately 80 nucleotides in length. Their secondary structure includes four short double-helical elements and three loops (D, anti-codon, and T loops). Lineage: Eukaryota; Metazoa; Arthropoda; Insecta; Orthoptera; Acrididae. The record is from RNAcentral.